RNAcentral lists this ribosomal RNA (481 nucleotides) under uncultured bacterium. RNAcentral describes it as "partial 16S ribosomal RNA". It matches the Rfam family "Bacterial small subunit ribosomal RNA", at positions 28 to 523 of the family's 1533-position model. The record is from RNAcentral.
GACGAACGCUGGCGGCGUGCUUAACACAUGCAAGUCGAGCGGAAAGGCCACUUCGGUGGUACUCGAGCGGCGAACGGGUGAGUAACACGUGAGUAAUCUGCCCCUGGCUUUGGGAUAGCCACCGGAAACGGUGAUUAAUACCGGAUACGACCACUUCUCGCAUGGGAUGGUGGUGGAAAGUUUUUUCGGCCAGGGAUGUGCUCGCGGCCCAUCAGCUUGAUGGUGAGGUAAUGGCUCACCAUGGCCUCGACGGGUAGCCGGCCUGAGAGGGUGACCGGUCACACUGGGACUGAGACACGGCCCAGACUCCUACGGGAGGCAGCAGUGGGGAAUAUUGGACAAUGGGCGGAAGCCUGAUCCAGCAACGCCGCGUGAGGGAUGACGGCCUUCGGGUUGUAAACCUCUUUCAGCAGGGACGAAGCGCAAGUGACGGUACCUGCAGAAGAAGCACCGGCCAACUACGUGCCAGCAGCCGCAGUAA